AGGAAAGGAAAGAGGUGGGAGAAAGGAAAUGUGAUGGGGAUGGGAGUGGGAAUGAAGAUAGGAAACAGGUGAGGACCGCAAAAUCAGAAAAAAAUCUCUUUAGAGUUUUACAUCCAUCAUGCAGGUGAUGUGUUUGGAAAGAAUUCACCUUUAUUUCUAGAAAUUCCCUGAAAAUGACAACCAGAAAAUGAAGCUUGCAGAGCAGUGUCCUUAGGCAGGAGCACUUUCACCUCUCAGGAUGCUCAGCUGCACUCUCUGAAGGGAAAAAUCCCAGCUCAGUGACUGAAUUACCUGUGGCACUGCAAGGAUUUUUCUACCAGCACCCAACAGAGAGGCCCAGCUGUGUCAGAAGGUCUGGGAACAUUAUUUUCAAUUUUCUGAAAGUUUAAUCAUUGCUACCAGCACUGCCUGAACUGAUACCACUCCCAAAUUCUGCACAGAGCUGGGGCUGGAAAAUCCAGGAUUUAACAAGUUUUAACAAUAGUGAGAAACCAAAACAUCAUAAAUUACCUCCUGACAUUGCUGGUAUGGUGAAGAAAUUCCAAAAUCCAUCCAGCUGACAUUCCCUGCUAAAUGUGUGUUCAAACAGCAAGGUCAGGGCAUGGAAUCCUUGGAACACCUCAUCAUGGAAUCACUGAUUUGGUGCUGGUUUGAAUCAGGAAUCACCAAUUUAGGGCACUUCAAAGAGUCAUUUUCAAGAGUUAUUUAUAUUUAAAUGCAGUUCUUUUCAAGAGUUUCUUAUUCUUAGUUAUGGAAUUAUGAGAAUAAUGGAAUUUCUGUAAAAAUAGGAGUUCAGCUUUCUGUCCUGCCAGGCUCUGCAAGCCCAGGGAAAGUGAAUCCAUCAGCCCCACCAGGCAGCAACAGGAAAAUUCCCUCAGGUGGGAUCAGAACUCUGCCAUGAGCAGCAUUUUCUGAGAUCCUGAGCUUUAUGGAGAUUUUGCAGCAUGAAACUCAGGUAAAACAUUAACACCCAACCCUUCAGUUCAUCCUGAAGGAUCUUGGGUGCCCACCCAGAGUCUGAACCUGCUGGGAGCUCUGUUCCUGCUCCCUGAGCUUGGUUUUCAGUUCUGACAGCUGGGAAUAGAACAGAAGGAGGUGUGGAAUUGUCAGAUGAUUAUUUCUGAUCAGGCCGGGUCUGUGACUCACAAAAAGCUCCCCAGAGAGCACAGAAGAGAGGAGAUAACUUUGAUGCAGCUAAUCCAAUUAAAGGCAGGACACAGCAAUGCAGGAUACACCCCUGGCCCAUCAGGGCUCAAACCUCACAGAGCUCAGGCCUGAACACUUCAGCAAAAAAUAAAUAAGAGGCACCAAAUCUCCUGCUAAUUCCCUCUGAUACAGGGAACGGCCUUGCUGGGCCCUGCAGGGAGCAGAGAGUGUCCUGAGGCAUAAAAUUCACAAUUAUCUUCAUUUUCACAGCAGUUACCACACAGGGAAUAAGCCAACCUUUUAAAAAAGUCAUCCUUUGAAUUACAGCAAUUCUUGUUGCUUGUCUCAGGGAAUUCUGAGAGCUCAUCAUGCUCUGGGUGCUCAGCAGAGAAAGAAAAAGCUUCUGACCUAAACUACUGCCCCAAGAGGGUUUUGUCAAUUUUUAGUGGAGAAUGUCUCAAAUAAUUUUUGAAUAUCAGGUUGAACAUGAUAAUAUUCCAUAGGAAAACAGCUGAACCCUUCACUCUUGGGUAAAAAAAUGCAGCAAUAUUUCACACAAUAAGUGUUAUUGUGAAAAAAAUGGGGGGAAAAAGGGAACAAAAGCUCUGAGCACCCACCUGGAGUUUUCCUGGGUGGUUUUAUCUGCAAAAGAACAACAUUUCACAGUUUCAACUUCUCCUGGAUCUGGUCUGGAAGAUCUGCAAGGUUUUUUUUUUUCUGAGUUUGGGAAAAGCUUCUGACCUAAACUGCUGCCCCAAGAGGGUUUUGUCAAUUUUUAGUGGAGAAUGUCUAAAAUAAUUUUUGAAUAUCAGGUUGAACACAUGACCUUAGUAUUCCAUGGGAAAACAACUGAACCUUCCACUCUUGGGUAAAAAAAUGCAGCAAUAAUUCACACAAUAAGUGUUAUUGUGAAAAAAAAUGGGGAAAAAAAGGGAAACCAAAGCUCUGAGCUCCCACCUGGAGCUUUCCUGGGUGGUUUUAUCUGCAAAAUAACAACAUUUCACAGUUUAAACUUCUGGAUCUGGUCUGGAAGAUCUGCAAGUUUGGUUUUUUUUUUCUGAGUUUGGGAAAAGCUUCUGACCUAAACUGCUGCCCCAAGAGGGUUUUGUCAAUUUUUAGUGGAGAAUGUCUAAAAUAAUUUUUAAAUAUCAGGUUGAACAUGAUAAUAUUCCAUAGGAAAACAACUGAACCUUCCACUCUUGGGUAAAAAAAUUUGCAGCAAUAUUUCAGACAAUAAGUGUUACUGUGAAAAAAAAAUGUGAAAAAAGGGAACCAAAGCUCUGAGCACCCACCUGGAGCUUCCCUGGGUGGUUUUAUCUGUAAAAGAACAACAUUUCACAGUUUAAACUUCUCCUGGAUCUGGUCUGGAAGAUCUGCAAGGUUUUUUUUUUCUGAGUUUGGGAAAAGCUUCUGACCUAAACUGCUGCCCCAAGAGGGUUUUGUCAAUUUUUGUGGAGAAUGUCUAAAAUAAUUUUUGAAUAUCAAGUUGAACAUGAUAAUAUUAAUAUUCCAUAGGAAAACAACUGAACCUUUCACUUUUGGGUAAAAAAAUUUGCAGCAAUAUUUCACACAAUAAGUGUUAUUGUGAAA
This is a long non-coding RNA of Catharus ustulatus (Swainson's thrush), 2736 nucleotides long. RefSeq lists it as uncharacterized. The record is from RefSeq and is a predicted model, not a curated record. The transcript is spliced from 2 exons. Lineage: Eukaryota; Metazoa; Chordata; Aves; Passeriformes; Turdidae.